GAUGAAGAACGCAGCGAACUGCGAUAAGUAAUGUGAAUUGCAGAAUUCAGUGAAUCAUCGAGUCUUUGAACGCACAUUGCGCCCCCUGGCAUUCCGGGGGGCAUGCCUGUCCGAGCGUCAUUGCUGCCCUUCAAGCCCGGCUUGUGUGUUGGGUCGUCGUCCCCCCCGGGGGACGGGCCCGAAAGGCAGCGGCGGCACCGCGUCCGGUCCUCGAGCGUAUGGGGCUUUGUCACCCGCUCGAUUAGGGCCGGCCGGGCGCCAGCCGGCGUCUCCAACCUUCUAUUUUACCAGGUUGACCUCGGAUCAGGUAGGGAUACCCGCUGAACUUAAGCAUAUCAAUAGCGGAGGA
Molecule: unclassified non-coding RNA, 349 nt
Filed under: soil metagenome
Description: partial contains 5.8S ribosomal RNA, internal transcribed spacer 2, and large subunit ribosomal RNA
Rfam family: 5.8S ribosomal RNA (bases 1-120)
Source: RNAcentral